UACGUAGGGUGCAAGCGUUGUCCGGAAUUAUUGGGCGUAAAGAGCUCGUAGGCGGUUUGUCGCGUCGAAUGUGAAAACCCGGGGCUCAACCCCGGGCCUGCAUUCGAUACGGGCAGACUAGAGUUCGGUAGGGGAGUCUGGAAUUCCUGGUGUAGCGGUGAAAUGCGCAGAUAUCAGGAGGAACACCAGUGGCGAAGGCGGCUCACUGGCCCGAUACUGACGCUGAGGCACGAAAGCGUGGGGAGCAAACAGG
This 253-nucleotide ribosomal RNA is filed under the name uncultured bacterium. RNAcentral describes it as "partial 16S ribosomal RNA". It matches the Rfam family "Bacterial small subunit ribosomal RNA", at positions 524 to 776 of the family's 1533-position model. The record is from RNAcentral.